ACGUAAUAGAUACCCGGGUAGUCCACGCCCUAAACGAUGUCUACUAGUUGUUGGUGGAGUAAAAUCCAUGAGUAAACGCAGCUAAACGCGUGAAGUAGACCGCCUGGGGAGUACGGUCGCAAGAUUAAAACUCAAAUGAAUUGACGGGGGCCCGCACAAGCGGUGGAUUAUGUGGAUUAAAUUCGAUGCAACGCGAAAAACCUUACCUGGCCUUGACAUGUAGCGAACUUUCCAGAGAUGGAUUGGUGCCCGAAAGGGAGCGCUAACACAGGUGCUGCAUGGCUGUCGUCAGCUCGUGUCGUGAGAUGUUGGGUUAAGUCCCGCAACGAGCGCAACCCUUGCCAUUAAUUGCCAUCAUUUAGUUGGGCACUUUAAUGGGACUGCCGGUGACAAACCGGAGGAAGGUGGGGAUGACGUCAAGUCCUCAUGGCCCUUAUGGCCAGGGCUUCACACGUAAUACAAUGGUCGGUACAGAGAGUUGCCAACCCGCGAGGGGAGCCAAUCUCAGAAAGCCGAUCGUAGUCCGGAUUGUAGCCUGC
Molecule: ribosomal RNA, 539 nt
Filed under: uncultured bacterium
Lineage: Bacteria
Description: bacterial SSU rRNA
Rfam family: Bacterial small subunit ribosomal RNA
Source: RNAcentral